GAACAUUUUACCCAGAGCUGAUCUGGGCCAUUCUAUACCGUCAUGCCCUGUUCCUCCCCCUGCCCAUGCCUCCGGAACCUGAGCUGGACCAGGCACUGAUCUCGCUCUAUGGUUUAAAUAGGAGAGAAGCAGUGAGGUAAAGCGAAUGGGGAGUGGAUGUCUGGAAUGAUCCACGGCCAUCUGGGAGCCCUGCUGUGGGUGGCCUCCUGAUUAGUGAAUGAGAUGCUGCCCUCAGGAAGCUUGGGUUCUAGAAAGGAGGGCUGACAGGAGUACAUAACUGCCAGCCUGCCCUGUGGCACGCCAGGCACUACAGAGAGGAGAGCGUGGCACAUGGUGGAGGCACAGUGGAGGGUGACUCAUUAAUUAACUCGGUCUUGGGGGCAAGCGGGGAACAAAGAAUGCUCACAGAAUCGGGAACCUUAAAGAGAAGCUUCUAGAGUGAACAGAUGCCGCUAACUUAUAUGGUGCCGUGGUGUGCAUUAGACAAAGGGCACACAGCUGGGCUGGCAGAUCACUGGGAGACAGGUCCCCUUGUGCAGUGAACAACAAAUACCACAUUCAGGGCAAUUGCAUUUGCUAGAUGGACAGAGGGAGACUGGAAAGAACAUUCCGGACAGAGAAGACAGCAUAAGCAAGGACAUAAAAAUGGUAAAUUCAUUCUAGAGCAGAGAUAGUAGAACUGGGGUGGGGAGCCCUGAUUGAAUGGUAUUGGGGAACAGUGGGGUCGACUUGGCAACUGAGGAGUGUGGGGGAAGGGGGCGACAGAGGAGAGCAUCCAGAAAGACUCCCGUAUUUUAGCCUUGGGUACCUGAAUGGUGCCGCACUAAUGAGACCCAAGGAGAUGCAGACAGAGCAGCCCCUGCUCUCAUUCCCCAAUGCCUGGCUGAAAGUGCCGGUGGUUCCUUUCCAGUUUCCUGAGGUUGUCCCACUUAACAUUGGAGGGGCUCACUUCACCACACGCCUGUCUACACUGCGGCGCUAUGAGGACACCAUGCUGGCGGCCAUGUUCAGCGGGCGGCAUUACAUCCCCACCGACGCCGAGGGCCGGUACUUCAUUGACCGGGAUGGCACGCACUUUGGAGAUGUGCUGAAUUUUCUGCGCUCAGGCGACCUGCCACCCCGGGAGCGUGUACGGGCUGUGUACAAAGAGGCCCAGUACUAUGCCAUCGGUCCCCUCCUGGAGCAGCUAGAGAACAUGCAGCCUCUGAAGGGGGAGAAAGUGCGCCAGGCAUUUCUGGGACUCAUGCCCUAUUACAAAGACCAUUUGGAGCGGAUUGUGGAGAUUGCCCGGCUGCGUGCGGUACAGCGGAAGGCCCGCUUUGCCAAGCUCAAGGUCUGUGUCUUCAAGGAGGAGAUGCCCAUCACCCCCUACGAGUGUCCGCUUCUCAACUCCCUGCGCUUCGAGCGGAGCGAGAGCGAUGGGCAGCUCUUUGAGCACCAUUGCGAGGUGGAUGUGUCUUUUGGGCCCUGGGAGGCUGUGGCUGAUGUUUAUGACCUACUGCACUGCCUGGUCACGGACCUCUCAGCCCAGGGCCUCGUCGUGGACCACCAGUGCAUCGGGGUGUGUGACAAGCACCUCAUCAACCACUACUACUGCAAGCGUCCCAUCUAUGAGUUCAAGAUCACGUGGUGGUAGGAGUGUGCCCACCCAGUCUAGGCACAGAGCUCUCCCCUCUCGUGUUGAGAGGUCUCCAGGGGAAGAAGAUACCACAGGUGAACAGUCACUGUGUAGCUCCCAACCACGUCAGGUGGUUCCGAAAGGAAUCCCUUCUGUCAUUCACCACUUCUUUCAAGGGAGAGAGAAAUGGCUCUAAGCUUAUGUGGGCCUCAGUGGUUAAGACCGGUCCUUGAGGAAAAUGGACUUGAGUUGUUCUUCCUCUGGAAGCAGAGUUUGACACCUUCCUGGCUAAUGAGUGUCCUCAUCAAGAUAUCCCUUGGAGUCACUCCAUGGAUUAACCCAGAAAGUGACAUGAUCUAAAUAUCCUGGGAUUCCACCACCUCCAACCACCUGGAACUCAAUGGAAACAGGACUGUCGUGCACCAGGAAGAAGUCCGACUCAACUGCAGGGAAGACUUUGAAUAGUCUUGAACCAUCCAGAAGUACUUCAUAGAAGGGACCCGUAAUCAGAUUGUGAUGUACCUUUUCUGCCCUUCUGUGAUCUCAAUGACAACCUGAAUCACCCUUCCACAAACCAUGACUUUUAGAAGAUUCUCCUAAUGUAUUACAGACCCUGGGUUUUUUCCUGUGUCAUGUGAUCGUGGCAGGUGGCCUAGCUCCAGUAGAUCUUUUGAAUAGAUGGAUACAUACUUCUCCUUUAUGAUGGAAAAAUUAAGAAAUAGAAACCCAAAACACCACAAAACUUAGAGCUUGAUCUCCAUUAAAAGAAAUUAAUCAGUUAAGAGUUGGAAUUGAAAUCCUUAUACCUCUAUUAUGUUUGUAAGUGGGUUGGAUGGUAUAAUCAGGUUUAAGUCCAGAGAACAUGUAGCACCUUCUGUAAGUGCCGUUAUUAGUGUGUUUAUUAGUGUGAGUUCCAGCAUUACAUCCUUGCCUUCAGCUCUGCCUCAGCUUACACUGCCCUGAGGACCCAUCUGUCUAUGCACCCAUCUGUUGUGGGUGCCUACUGUCCCCACUCUCCCUGUGUCAUCACCACCCCCCACCCCCACCACUCAUGACAGCCCUGUCUUUGGCAUUUUAAAGCUGGUUUGCCACUUCUGGCCGUACCUCAUCCAGCAUUUGGUAGCCAGCCCUGGCGGCGGUGCUCCAUCCAGCAGUGUCCCCCGCUGCUUCUUAGGCAGGUAGGUGCUCUUUGCACCAAGGUCCCAGAUUUUCCGAUUCAGCUUUCUCACCUGGCCUGCUAGGAUUUGAAGAGCAUUUUCAGCCCUUCUCUCUAAGCUCCGUGUCUACCGUGACCGCUUCCGCAAUGGCAGCAGAGGAUUCUUGCAAGGCCCCACCAAACAGAUAAGUUAGCCUCACCCUCCUCUACCCUUGGAAGGGAUAAUCAACAUACUUUUCCCAGAAACUGCAUUCACCAAGAGCUUCCUAACAAAAAUAGGGACUUCCCUGGUCAGCUGACCACAUCACUAUUGGCCGAAAUGAGGAUGACCUUAUUCACUUGGCACUCCCAGAAAGUCAAGGCAGCAUGUAUCUGCCUCCAGACAUAUUCAGGAAAUGUUCUACCCAACUGCCUGAUUGUAUACUUCCAAAUACAGCUCUGUCUGGAAAUUCCCGCUGGUUCAAAGAGGUAGGAUGUUGAGGAAUACCAUCUAUAGUCACCUGCCAGAAUGUUCCACCACUUACACUGGCUGGGCCUUUAGCCCGGAGGAUUCCACAGACAUGGGAUUUACUGUCUGGUUUUGAACCCUGUCGGAGCUGUUCUGCUGGGAUGGCAAUCCUGACUCCUUGACGGCAGCAGCAGCCCUGGGAUAACCUGCAAUUGUGGACUGAGAUCCAGAUGUAGGAUUUCCAGAAGGUUCAACCAAGGUAUCCUCAUGAUAAUGUAUGAGAAAGUGAUGUUUCUUAGGUGGAAGGUUCUCCAGAUGCUCAACUACCCCACAGUUUGGGGGUUUAUAGGCAGUAGCCAUUCGGUCAUGCUCCUCCACUUCCUCACAUGACCAUCCUGCCUUUUUAGGAUGGGGUUUGAGCUGACCCCUUGCUCAGGGCCCAGAAUUCCACAGUAGCUGAAAACCCUGUACAUCUUUUCUCCUAUCACGGUCUUACGCAACCCAGAAGCAUUUCAGUGCCCUGGCAGGGAUCACAAGGAGGCACGAGCACGGGCAGCCUCUGUCCCUUGUUUCCGCAUGUCCACGAUACUGGCAUUGGCAGGCCGACAACCCUUGUAGGUGUGAGUUGCAAUAAAACCAACAGAUUCAAGGUCUAGAGGCGGCACUGAAGAAGCCCUUCAGGGAUGUCUGUCUGCAGGAGCCUGGAGUACUCAAGGUGAAACUGGGAGCUUGUUCCACAUAGUGGAGGCAGGAUGUGUUUUUCAAACAUUUUGGCUUCAGAAGAUACUGCAAACAUGCACAAGAGCCUGAGAAGGAGGCCAGCUAUCCCACGUGCCUUUAUAUCUCACGCAUUCAAAAUGGAAAAGAACAGACUUCUUGGGACCUUCUGACGCAGCAGUAUGUGCUGCUUCCUUCUUCGGUGAGUGUUCCUGAAUUGCACUGAGUCAUUUGUAUUAGUCAAGACAAAACAAAAAAGUAGUAAUUGAACAAUUUCUAUCUUUAAUAUGUUAACUUAAUCGUAGUUGCAUUGUAAUAAUAAGGGACUGGCUCACAAACAGUAGUGAUAACUAGAGAGAAUGUGGGAAGACCACAUAGAGGAAGCGCCACCCAGGACUGAGAUAGAGGAUCCAAGGAAGAACAGCCCCUUCCCCAGAGCUGAUAUCAGACCUUUUUGGAGAGGGCAGAGCCAUGGUUUACUGAAUGGCAGGGAAGUCAUCGGGUGCUAUACUUGGUGGAACUUGCUAGAAAUCCUUCCUCUAGCAUGCUGGGAAAAUCUCUUUAGGGAGGUGUUUUAUCAGAGGCACUCCACUACAAAGCUACCCAAGGUGAGUGCUGGGGAAAGCUGCUGGCCUCUUUGUGCUGCUGGCGAACAUGCACUGCAGGAGCUGCGUGCUGGAGAAGCUGUGCUGGGGCAAUCACACCAGAACCAGAAAGGGAAGUACCUUUCUUCUUGGCAGGGUGUCCCCGAUAUCCUCUGCUAACGAAGUUUAAUAUCCUGUUAAUUGGCAAAGGAAAAAAUAUUCAAAGGUCCCAACCCAAUUCUGCAGAGCCAAUGAAGGAUGAAUAUGGAGCUAAGAGGCAAUCAAUAACUGGCAUAUCUUUUUUUAAAA
This is an RNA transcript of Enhydra lutris kenyoni (northern sea otter), 4832 nucleotides long. It is a transcript of the gene named potassium channel tetramerization domain containing 7, with no coding region annotated. The transcript is spliced from 5 exons. The record is from RefSeq and is a predicted model, not a curated record. NCBI's taxonomy places the organism in Eukaryota, Metazoa, Chordata, Mammalia, Carnivora, Mustelidae.